RNAcentral lists this ribosomal RNA (484 nucleotides) under uncultured Methylobacterium sp. RNAcentral describes it as "bacterial SSU rRNA". It matches the Rfam family "Bacterial small subunit ribosomal RNA", at positions 56 to 584 of the family's 1533-position model. The record is from RNAcentral. Lineage: Bacteria; Pseudomonadati; Pseudomonadota; Alphaproteobacteria; Hyphomicrobiales; Methylobacteriaceae.
UGCAAGUCGAGCGGGCACCUUCGGGUGUCAGCGGCAGACGGGUGAGUAACACGUGGGAACGUACCCUUCGGUUCGGAAUAACGCUGGGAAACUAGCGCUAAUACCGGAUACGCCCUUAUGGGGAAAGGUUUACUGCCGAAGGAUCGGCCCGCGUCUGAUUAGCUAGUUGGUGGGGUAACGGCCUACCAAGGCGACGAUCAGUAGCUGGUCUGAGAGGAUGAUCAGCCACACUGGGACUGAGACACGGCCCAGACUCCUACGGGAGGCAGCAGUGGGGAAUAUUGGACAAUGGGCGCAAGCCUGAUCCAGCCAUGCCGCGUGAGUGAUGAAGGCCUUGGGGUUGUAAAGCUCUUUUGUCCGGGACGAUAAUGACGGUACCGGAAGAAUAAGCCCCGGCUAACUUCGUGCCAGCAGCCGCGGUAAUACGAAGGGGGCUAGCGUUGCUCGGAAUCACUGGGCGUAAAGGGCGCGUAGGCGGCCAUUC